This is a long non-coding RNA of Suricata suricatta (meerkat), 1115 nucleotides long. RefSeq lists it as uncharacterized. Lineage: Eukaryota; Metazoa; Chordata; Mammalia; Carnivora; Herpestidae. The transcript has 4 exons. The record is from RefSeq and is a predicted model, not a curated record.
GCUGGUGGGAGCUGGCAGGUAGGGCCCAAGGGGGGCUGGGGGGCCCUCAGCCCAUAGGACCCCCAGAAGCUUAUUCCAGGCUUACUAGUUCCGUUCCAGAAAUAGAUCCCUAAGCAGAUGAAGGGAGGGGCUGGGAGCAAAAGGGAAGAAGGUCAGUGCCAUUUCCGGGGCACUUAGCAGGGGCGCGGCUGGGACGGCACCUUCCAGAACCCACAGGCCCAGGGCUGGGCUCAGGACCGUCACACAGGGGCACACCAGGCAGCGGCCGCACGGUUUGCUCCAACACCCUUUUGGCAGAUGCAGAAGCCGAGUGUCCGGGAGGCAGGCCGGCUCCAGAAUCUCCCAAGGUGGCCGGUCACCCAUGGCACACAGUGCUACAAAAUGAGGUCUCAUCAAGAGACUGGCGUUCAAACUGAAGUGACUCAUAGCCACUCUCCUUAAUGGAGCGCAAGAUGGCAGCGCCGGAGCUGAGGGUUCCGCGCACUUCUCUGGAACUGAUUCACAUCACAUCCGCCUCUUCUUCCGUGAGGCAGCGCAGUGCCUCUUUGCCUUGCAUCCGAUCCUCAGGAAAGUCACCUGAAAAUCUCGGGACCACCACCUCACGCCCCCCAGGCUGGCUGAUAUCAAGAAAACAGCAUUAGUCACAAGAGUUAAAACAUGGAGGAAGCUCGAAUGUCCACUGACGGAGGAAUGGAAGUUGAGAAGAGCUGCUUCAGCAAUUUCCAAGGAUCAGGAGUGUCCGUGGCAAACAAGCCCUCUCCCCUCUUCAUCCUGCCCCCACCGACAGACCCCACAGGAGGGAGGUGACCCCAGGACCCUUCUACUCAAGGCCUUGGGCAACAUCUGUUGAGGACAAGGAGGCUGAGGCACAGGGAGGUUAACAACUAUCCGAUAGAGGAGGCAGGAUGCGAACCCAGGAGUCUGGCUCCAGCUCAAGAUGUGCUCCUGCCCCGUCUCCUAGGCCCAUCUCCUGUGACUGCUGAUGUCCACGCAGCCACAGUCAACAAGAGUGACGGAAAGCCAGAAAGCUUGGGGAAUGUGGUUGUCUGUCUGCUACUGACCCAAGCUCUUUCCUUGGACUCAUUUUGAUCUUAAUAAAAAGGAAAAAAAAUGGA